This 589-nucleotide long non-coding RNA is filed under the name Setaria italica (foxtail millet). RNAcentral's name for it is "long non-coding RNA (SITA_LNC003353)". Lineage: Eukaryota; Viridiplantae; Streptophyta; Magnoliopsida; Poales; Poaceae. The record is from RNAcentral.
UAGCGGAUGGAGCCCUUGCGGCAUCCCGAGGCGGCGGUCAUCUGGAGGAGGAUGCUGCGGAGGGCGUCGCGCGGGAAGGGCGCCGUGUCGAUCCUGGCCUUGGCGGCGGAGCGGAGGAAGCGGUCGAGGUGGGCGUCGAGCUCGUAGAGGCAGCCGUCGAGGAGCAUGGCGGUGUCGAACACGCCGUGGCCGCGGUGGACCAUGUGGUCGUCGAUGGGGAGGACCAUCAUCGCGGGAUCAAGGAUGAUGCCGCCCACCACGCUGGAGUACAUGGCCGGGUACGUCGACCUGUUGGUGUUGCUGCUGCAUUUGUCCUGCAGCUUCUGCAGGACCUGCAUUUGACUGACCUUGUUAGUGCAUCGCGAUCGGAGGAACAGAGCUACCAUUGCAUUACUUAAUUUCCUACUAGUAGCUACAACAACAACAGCAACAAAAAGGUAAUUGCUACUUUCCUUACUAGUAUGUGAUGCAGAUAGCACAGAAGAAAGUAAUUUAAUUUGUUGGGAGGGGAGGAAUUGAAGAAGAUAUUGAGAAAAGGUGGAGGAGACUGACUGACCUCGGCGCCAGAUUCGUAGACCGGGACGACGAC